GUUUAGCUCUUUCAGGCCAAAAUUUUUAUCAUCUCCCAGUUUCUGUUUCUGGCGAUAUGUUCUUUUAUAAUUUAUUGUUCGCUGCCAAUUCCAGGUUGUCUACAUUGGAGAUGGAAAUAACAUAGUGCAUUCUUGGUUGCUGCUGGCUUCAGUAAUUCCCUUCCACUUUGUUUGUGCCUGUCCAAAAGGUUUUGAACGAGGAAAUAGUUAAGAAAGCAGAACAGGCUGGGGUAAGCAAAAUUGAGAUCAUUAAUGAUCCUGAUGAGGAAACAGUUAAGAAAGCACAACAGGCUGGAGUAAGCAAAAUUGAGAUAACUAAUGAUCCAAAGGAAGCUGUUAGAGGAGCUGAUGUUGUGUACUCAGAUGUCUGGGCUAGCAUGGGACAAAAGGAAGA
RNAcentral lists this long non-coding RNA (394 nucleotides) under Nicotiana benthamiana. RNAcentral's name for it is "long non-coding RNA (NBEN_LNC021710)". The record is from RNAcentral. Lineage: Eukaryota; Viridiplantae; Streptophyta; Magnoliopsida; Solanales; Solanaceae.